AACAGUCAUAUUUCCUACAAUACUUGGAGUUUUUGACUCUACUUUUUUUUAUAUGAAACUAGACUCGAAGACCUUUCUUUUGGUAUGAGUCUCGAGUCCAAGAAGUGUCGGAGUCAGAACAGGUUAGAUUUUGAAGUUGAGUCAGUGUAAACACAGAGCAUGUUUUGAUAAUGUUUGAUUGUGUUUUCUUAUGGGCCUUAGGUGAUUGUGUUGUCUAUGUGUUUGAAUGAGAUUAGAAGAGCCUUAUAUGAGAGACAAAUCGAGACUUAGAACCAUGAUUUUUCUUGAAACCUAUCCUUGAACUUAAGGAUUUGAGAUGAGUGGAGAGUUUAUAUAGAGUUGAGUAAGGAGAUAAAAUAUGAGAUAGAGCAUAAGUUUCCUUUCAUGUCUCUGAUAAUCAUAAGUUUUUGAUGUCGAGUCUAGAAUAGUAUCUCUAGACUUCUAAGAAUGUCAGUAACCCUCAGCUCGCCGUCACACUGCCGCAACAAAGGUACAAUAAUAGUUUCAAAAAUAUACAUAUAUGUAUUUCAGAUGUUAUGAAAGUUUUUCAAGAAAAUGUGCGCCUUAUGUUUACGAUGCUAUGUGAAUGCUUUUUGUCGUGUUUGGGACUACCCGAACCCAUAACGACUCAAUGAAUGUAUUUCGUGUUUGGGACAACCCGAGCCCUUAACGAAUCAUUGUAUGUAUGUAUGUAUGGUCGAGUUAGAUUCCUUGAAUCUUUCCGGCAUAAGCAAAGUUUUCAUGAAAGGGACAUUAAAUGUCCAUAUAUGUUAAGGUUUCAAAAGAAACAGAAGUAUGUAUGUAUGAAAGAAUGAGAAAGCUUUAUGUUGUCGUUUUAGGCUAGCUGCCUAUACGAUUAGAAUGAUGGGUCCUCUUACAAGCCGUUUGAGUACCACCCAAGAAUGCUUUGAGAAUGUUAAUCGUGAUAGCACCGCUUGAUCGAUUUAAGUAAAGACUGGUAAGAUAGAAAUGUUUAACAUAGAGAUGUUACAACAUAAAGGCAAUGCUUUAAGACUAAGGAUUCACUUGAGCUAUUUCAAUAGCGGUGAGAUUAAGUUUUUCACAUAAGAACUUAUGUUGCUUAUAAUUAUGAUGUUAGUCGUGAUAGCUUGGCUAGAACAACAUAGAAUGGACUUUCAUGGUAUCAGUAACUUAUGAUGAAGUACUUAUUAGUAAGUGCUUUAAGUUAGAAGUUGACUUAGAGCUUUAUAAGAGAUAAGAAGUUGACAUGAUUGGGGGCGAAGCUCCCAUUUGACUGAGUGAUUCAUCGUGCUGGGUCUGGUCAGCCCAUAUAACUAAGAUCUCGGUGAUUGUCAAUUAGGAUUUUGAUCCUGAGUAGGGCGUCAUCCCAAUGUAUAGACUCACACUAUGUAGUUGUCACAAUAAGAUCUUAUUUUACCACGAUAAGCACAGUAAUGACUAGAAUGACUUAGUUGCUGUCAGUUCUCGAAGUACUAGAAGGUGAUAUUCUCACAGUUAGAAAGAUACACUAAGCAUCAACCUAUCUUUUGACUGACAGUCGGUAUAAACAAAGCAACUUCUGGAAUCCCAAGUGGAGAACCAGGGCAGAUAACUAGUAUGAUAGAGUUUUCAACAAAAUGUCAGGACGUGCUCCAAAUGUGGGGGACACUUAUGAGAAACGCGUGAAGGAGUUCGCAAACGAAUGGCGUCAUGAGAUAUUCAAUUCCCCUACCAAGCCAAAGAAAUAUUACGUAGGAGCAACCAACGAGCAAGACUCUCACCAUCGAAUCACUGCUACCAAGGGAGAAUGGGAAGACUCCGACACAAUCUGGAUAUACACCACCUCAAGAUGUGGUGAAGGAAAGAAAAUGGAAUGAAGAAAACAACAGAAAAUUUGAGAAUAGAAAAAGAACUUUAGAAUAAGACUUAAGAUCCAACCCAGCCUCAGAGCCAACAACAUCACACUAGAAGGGUGAUUGUUUCGGCUAAAGUGUCAAAAGCUCCAUCAAUAGGAAUGUUCAAAGGAAGCAAGUAUUUGUUUUAAACUUCAGAGAACUUGAGCACUAUGUCUCAUUAGCCCCAAAGUUGAAUUACUUGACUUAUGACUUAGAACUCGUUGUGGUUGUGCACGUGUUGGAAAUUUGGAGAUACUAUCUCUACGGAGUUAAGUGUGAGGUCCUUAUAGCUGACAAGAAUUUGAAGUGCUUUUUCGAGCAAAGAGAUUUCAAUGUAAGACAACAGAGACGAUUCGAAUUAGUGAAGAAUUAUGAUGGUACCAUCAAUUGGAAAUUAAGAUAAGAUGUUUCACCACUAAAUAUAAAGUACUGAUUGGUGAUUGCCUUAUUCGGUUUAGUAAUUGUUCACCAUCCGGAGACAAUAUCAAGCUGUGUAGUUGCAUCAAUAGUUAAGUGUGAAUUGCAAGAAAGGAUUAUGAAAGCACGAAAUGAAAAUGGAUAUUGGUGAGAAAAUGUGUCUCGCCUCAAGAAUAAGAAAAACGAAAGGAUUCACGAAAGUCAGGAAUAGUGCACUAAUGGUUAGUGGAGGAUUGUGGAUGUAUACACUGAAUAUUACGUCUCGCAGUUAAGAAAGUAUGUGAUUAAGAACGAUGAGAUAGUCCAAGCUCAGGGCUUAAGUUAUGAAGAGAAAUCAGUUUAGUGACUAGAUUGCAAUGUUCAAGUGUUACGAGGCAAUAAUAUUGUUCUCGUCAUGUAGUGGAACCAUCACAGGAUGGAAAAGGCUACAAAAGAGAUGAAUGAAACGAGUGACUAGUAUCACAAGCUAGAAUACCAGGUAUGCAAAUUUCGGGACGAAAUUUAUUUUAAGGGGGGUAGUAUGUAAUGCCCCGCUCUUUUAAAUAUAUAUUAGAUUAAACAUGUGCAUUAGUUAUAAAAUUCUUUUAAUUAUUUAUUGUGACUAUUUUAUUCAGAUAAUAUUAUUUCAGCAAAAGUCUGUAUAAGAGAUACAGAGCUGCGAUUUAAUAUUCAAUCAUGAAUCAAACCAAUAAUUAAAUUAUUGGUUUAGCUACACGUUUGAGACCUUGCAUUACCAGUUGAUUGAUUUAAUCAAUAGUAUUAGAAAUUUUAGAUUUAUAACCGAUUUCAUAAAUCGUGUUAUUUAAAUCGAAUUGUUAGAAUUAUAACUUGAGCUUAUGUGAAUAAUAAUUUUAUUAUUUCACGCUAUAUGUGUUUAGUAUUAAGUCGCGAAUUAAUUUCGACUUUCACGUAUUAAAUCUCAAGAUUGAGGAUUUAAUUUAUAUAAAUACGACGAGUAUUUAUUAAACGAGAAUUGGAGAAUUAUUACAGGAACUAUGAGAAAUUAGAUCACGAUAAAUAGUCGAAUCACUACACUAUUACACCAACCCCUCCAACAUAUAUGUAACACCCGGUAUUUUCACUACAGUAUAUGUUAUUAAUAUUAUUUUCUAUUUUCUAUUAUUUAAAAGAAGAAAGAGAAGUAGAAUCACUGAGAUGAGAUGAGAUAUUAUUAGUCGACUUAUUGCUCGACUAAUUGAAGUGACGAAUAUUAUUUAAUUAUUUAUCUAUGAGCUUUCUUAUUUUAAUAUUAUAUAGUGAAGGGAUAUUUACAAGGUUAGCUUAUGAAGGAAGAUUUUCUCCUCCUUUUCUUCCAACAAAGUCGUCCCCUUUCCUCUGCCAAACCCUUAGUUUGUUUUUUUUUAAUUUCUUUGAUUUCAAGAGGCACUCCAAUUAUACAAGAGGUUAUCCAAUAGCGCCACUGCUCGGAGCUUGCUCGACGUGCCGCGACGUCUCAUCUCUCCCGACGAAGCGGAAGCUGCCGUUGCUCUGGUUCGAUGAUGCUGCGUCUUUCUUGGCCGGGAAUCGACGCGCCACCGUUGCUCCCUCCUCGGUUCUCUCUCUUUACAACUCAAGGGAGGGUGGGGUCUUCUUCUAGGCUGAGCCCUAGCUGCACUUCCUCGUUAAUCGCCAUCGCCGUGUUCUGGAUUCUAGCAGCGAAAGUUACGCCGCUGCUGUUCCUGGCAAUUCCCAUCUUCUCGUCGCUCGGCGUCGAUCCACGGCUCACCCCCAUGGAACAGGGACCGCUGCCUUCCCUUAAUCACCUAAAGCUAAGCCCUUCUUCCUCUUUAUGUUCUAUGGGGUAAAUUCAAAUGAUGUUGUUGUGUACUAGUUAACCCUAGUGGAGUUGUGGCUCUCCUUGCUUGUUCAUAAGUGAAUUUGGGCAUUCUUGAGGUAAGAUAGCUAAAUAUUUGAUGCUUAUGUAAUUGAACUCUUGGGAGCGUGGAAUGUGAUUAUGUGAUAAAAAUUGGGGGAUAUUGGGCAUGUUACUAUGUGUUGAGCCAAUUUUGAUUUAUGAAUAAGGGAAGAACUACUUUUAGUAUUGAUUGGAGAAGUUGUGGUGAUUAAUUGUGUUAUAACUUGCUUGCUUUGUGUUGAUGAGUUAAACAUGAGUUAAAUUUCAAGCUAAAGCAUGCUAAUGUGUAGUAAGAUGAUGUAAUUGAGUUCCUAUGGUUUGUAUUUGACAAACGUAUGAAUUAUAUGUUAAGUUGAAACAAAGGGGCUUUGCUGUCAGUUUUCGGCUUGACAGGGCAGUAUGUUUCGGGGUACUUUUGAUGAUGUUUUCGUAGUCCAAAUAACUUGAAAUUUUUACUGUAAUAACUUCAUCAUGUGUAGUCGUUCUCUGCAAAAUUUCAGCUAAAUCCGAGAUCAAUAGACAUGUCAAACUAUUUUCUGAAAUGUACUGCACGGAGCAGCAGAGUUCAGCGGCAGAUUCUGUCUUUGGUCAUAUAACUUCUUAUCCACUUGAGAUAUUGUGUUUUUGUAAAUUUCUGAGAAAUAUAGACGUUAAUAGCUUUCUAAAGAAGUGAGGUUUAUAUUUUUCUUUGAAGUGGUUGAUUUUAUAUAAUUUUUUCAAAGUUAGGAUUCAAAUGGGUAUGUUUCUUAAACUUGUGAUUGGUAGUUAAUGGAGAUCCUAAACUACUAAACUCAAAUUAAGGUUUUAUUGUUCUAAUUACCUAUUAAGGAUUAUUGAUUACUAAGCUUGUUAAUAUGAUAGUUGAUGGAUAUAAUUAUGUUUAUAUGAUUAAUUACUUUGGGAUUUUAUGUUUUACAUGUAUGGUUAGUUGUAAACUGAUCUCUAUGAAAUGGAUUUGUUUACUUUAAACUUUCUCAAGUAGAGGAAUUCCUAUAAGAUAGGAAUAUUAGUUUAUACUUUCUUAAAGUUCAUAAGAGUUAGUAUAUUGGUUAGUUUAGUUGAUUCAACCCUAGCUCUGCAGAAGAUUAAAAGUUUAUUGGGAUGUUAUUUAUAGCUAAUUCUUCUUAUCUAGUUAUCCAAUCUUAUUUUAGAAUCUUGCUAUUAUGAAGGUGACAAUAGCAAUGAUAGAUAAGUGAGCAAGAGUUCCUACACCGUUAAGCGUAUCAGGUUGAGCAGCUGAUGGAAUGGAAUGAUGUUGAGCGGGUGUUCUUUUGACAUUUCAAGAAAUGUAACCUUGAGUAUACAUCUUCAUAUGUAUAUCUCACACGUUUUUCCGCUGCAAAACACUUUGAUUAGAAUAACUCUAUGUUAUGAAGAACGCGAACACGUGUUAUUGGAUAACCCACCUUAAUCAGUUCUCCUUCAUGUGUAUGUUUUAUAAGUAUCCAAAUGAUCAUAUAUGAUCCUAGCAUCUUAUCUAUGAGUGACAUUCUCAUAUACCUUAAUGUUAAGUAAUUGUCCAUUUUCA
Molecule: long non-coding RNA, 5656 nt
Organism: Salvia miltiorrhiza (redroot sage)
Lineage: Eukaryota; Viridiplantae; Streptophyta; Magnoliopsida; Lamiales; Lamiaceae
Exons: 2
Source: RefSeq, a predicted model, not a curated record